RNAcentral lists this ribosomal RNA (469 nucleotides) under uncultured bacterium. RNAcentral describes it as "partial 16S ribosomal RNA". It matches the Rfam family "Bacterial small subunit ribosomal RNA", at positions 28 to 507 of the family's 1533-position model. The record is from RNAcentral.
GACGAACGCUGGCGGCGUGCUUAACACAUGCAAGUCGAACGGAAAGGCCCUGCUUGCAGGGUGCUCGAGUGGCGAACGGGUGAGUAACACGUGGGUGAUCAGCCCCUUACUUUGGGAUAAGCCUGGGAAACUGGGUCUAAUACUGGAUAGGACCAUGCUGUAGGUGGUGUGGUGGAAAGAUUAGUUUCGGUAAGGGAUGAGCUCGCGGCCUAUCAGCUUGUUGGUGGGGUAAUGGCCUACCAAGGCGUCGACGGGUAGCCGGCCUGAGAGGGUGGACGGCCACAUUGGGACUGAGAUACGGCCCAGACUCCUACGGGAGGCAGCAGAGGGGAAUAUUGCACAAUGGGCGCAAGCCUGAUGCAGCGACGCCGCGUGGGGGAUGACGGCCUUCGGGUUGUAAACUCCUUUCAGCCAUGACGAAGCCCUUGUGGUGACGGUAGUGGUAGAAGAAGCACCGGCUAACUACGUG